This 88-nucleotide transfer RNA is filed under the name Leptospira kmetyi serovar Malaysia str. Bejo-Iso9. Its description in RNAcentral is "tRNA-Tyr". The record is from RNAcentral. Lineage: Bacteria; Pseudomonadati; Spirochaetota; Leptospiria; Leptospirales; Leptospiraceae.
UUGUCGUUGCGACGAUAUCGAUCGCGUUAUAACCGCGGUUGAAACUCAUUCCUUCGACGAUAUGGGAGUUCCAUUCUCCCGCGUUCAA